Selaginella moellendorffii is the source of this 362-nucleotide long non-coding RNA. RefSeq lists it as uncharacterized. The transcript has 2 exons. The record is from RefSeq and is a predicted model, not a curated record. Lineage: Eukaryota; Viridiplantae; Streptophyta; Lycopodiopsida; Selaginellales; Selaginellaceae.
AAUGGGCACCGACUUAGUGCUGGAAGUACACUGGGGAGCUUGUGCAGUGGAGUCACCUUGGAGGCGAGUGACCCAUGAGCAACGCCGGGUCAUCGUGCUCGAGUUGGACCGCUUGGCUGCGACGACGUUGAGCUAGAUCGACAUGGUGUUCGUCUGGCUUGUCAUCAUUGUGACCGAGUGGAGGAGUGGCAAGGCGAAGCAGGUGGCUUCAAGCUCCGCGGUGGAGUCACCUGGGAGGCGGACGGCCCAAGAGCAGCGCCGGGUGUUCGCGCUCAUAGUUUCACUAGUCUCUUCGAGAGUGCGCUCUCAAUGUUGUUUUGAUCCCUUUGGGAUUGGGGUAAUGUACAUAUAUGUUUAGCGAA